This 365-nucleotide ribosomal RNA is filed under the name Eusynthemis brevistyla. RNAcentral's name for it is "eukaryotic LSU rRNA". It matches the Rfam family "Eukaryotic large subunit ribosomal RNA", at positions 1561 to 1888 of the family's 3401-position model. The record is from RNAcentral. Lineage: Eukaryota; Metazoa; Arthropoda; Insecta; Odonata; Synthemistidae.
CUCACUCUCGAUUUAAAGAAGGAAGCCCAUUGAUCGGGCGAAAGGGAAUCCGGUUCCUAUUCCGGAACCCGGCAGCGGAACCGUUGUUUGUCGGGCCCUCACAAGGGGUUCGUCAGGGCAACCUAAAAGGGCCCGGAGACGCCGUCGGGAGCCCCGGAAAGAGUUUUCUUUUCUGCAUGAGCGUUCGAGUUCCCUGGAAUCCUCUCGCAGGGAGAUAGGGUUUGGAACGCGAAGAGCACCGCAGUUGCGGCGGUGCCCGGGAAUUCCCGACGGACCUUGAAAAUCCGGGAGAGGGCCACGUGGAGGUGUCGCGCCGGCUCGUACCCAUAUCCGCAGCAGGUCUCCAAGGUGAAGAGCCUCUAGUC